Selaginella moellendorffii is the source of this 2153-nucleotide RNA transcript. RefSeq lists it as uncharacterized. The transcript is spliced from 8 exons. The record is from RefSeq and is a predicted model, not a curated record. NCBI's taxonomy places the organism in Eukaryota, Viridiplantae, Streptophyta, Lycopodiopsida, Selaginellales, Selaginellaceae.
GAGAAAGAGGUCUAGGGUUUUUAGGUGUCUCUCUCUCGCGGCAGCUGGAUCCGGUGGCGCUAGGCGGCGAUGCGGGGCUACAUUGCGAGAUCUCGGCAUUGUGACGGGCGCUGGAGCGGGAUUUCGCGAAAUGCGAGCCGGAUUCGUGAAAUGUGAGUCCAGGGAAGGGAAAUGGGAGGGAGCUCCCCGCACUGUGGAGCGCCUGGCAGGGAAGGGACGGCCUUCACCGGGCCAUCGGGGAAUUCUAGAGCAGGGAAUGCGUCCAAGCGGUGGCUGCCCCAGAAUGGAGGCGCUAGGAAUGGCAAUGCGUUCCAGCUCCAGCCUUCCCAGGUGGUCGUGAAUGUUCGCGGUGGCGGCGCCGCUCAUGGAUUUUCCAAGGCGAGCAAGAGGGAGUGUGGGGAAUGUUUUCCAGUGAAAGGCAAAGUUUUGGCUUCCAGGAUUGUCAUCACUGCGGUAGUGUUAUGGCUGGUUUUCCAGUCGGUGCUGCUGUUAGAAGGGAUCGUCACCAAGCGUUCCGAGAUGAAUCUUCCCGGUGGAGCUGACGAUUUACAGCAGAAUUUUCUCAAUGGUUCUAGAGUUGCCCGAACGCGUCCAUCUGGCUUGGAGCAAAGAACUUUAGCUAAUGACGAGCAAGGAGCCUCCGCAAAAAUUAACAGUUCUAUUGCCAACUUUGAAGACUACGAAGAAAAUCUGGAAGGAGAAGUGGCUGUGGAGCGAGAUCUGCAUGCGAUUGAAGACGUGGAGAGAAUAGAAGAGGAGGAGCUGGAUGAGAGAAAAGAACAAGCCCAAGCGACUUUUGAGGAUGUGAACCGAGGCGUGAAAAGAGCCGAAAGGGAGAAGUUUGAGAAUCACGAACGUGACGAUGGGGAGCUUGAGCGCACUGGGCAGCCGCUAUGCAUUUACGAAACUUACGACGGAAACAGCGGCUGGGCUUCCCUCCAUCAGAAUUAUCCUCUGUACCGUGGUCUUAGUCUGUCACCGAGGGGAAGGAGACCAAGGGUCGACGACAUUGAUGCUGCAUCACGCCUUGUGCUUUUAAACGACACUUUCUACCGCGAUAGCUUUUGCGAUUUUGGUGGAUUUCUCGCAAUCGCUAACAGGAUUGAUCGAGUGCAUAAGAACUCGUGGAUUGGAUUUCAACCCUCGCUAGCUGCUACCGAAAGAGUUGCUCUGUCGCCAAAAGCUGAAAACUCUUUAGCCGAUGCUGUGAGGGUCGGUAUUCAUGGCGAUGCCGUUUAUUUCUGGGCUGGCAAGUCGGAAGAUUUCUGGACUUCUUGCGAUGCAAGCAAUGCUGGAAACUGCAGGCGGAUUUUCAUGGAGACAUUCAAGACAAUGUUCGGCUUAAACAAAGACCAACUGGAGCUUCCAACGAUGCCAUCUGGUGUCUGGUCUAGCAAGCAUUGCUGGGCUAUGUCUACCUCAUCUUUCGUGGAGUUCGUCAUGUUUUCCCGGAUGUUCGUGGACGCUCUCGAUUCUCGGCUCUACAUUGAACAUCACGACCAUGGAAACUGUCCUCUUGCAACCACACAACUGGAGGCUCAACACUGCUACUGCCGUCUACUUGAGGUCCUGGUGAACGUUUGGGCGUAUCACAGUGCCAGGAGACUCAUCUACGUGGAUCCUGAGACGGGUAUAAUGAUGGAGCAGAACGCUCUCGAGAGCCGACGCGGGCAGAUGAAAGUCAAGUGGUUCAGCUUUAGCGUGCUCAAGGGAAUGGACGAAGACAUGGCCGAGAAAGUUGACGACGAGCAUCCUACGUACCGGUGGCUCUGGCCACACACGGGAGAAGUGUUCUGGCAGGGAAUCUUGGAGAGGGAGAGGCAGGAGAGAUACAACAUGAAGUUGGAAAGGAAGCGCAGGAACAAGGAGAGGCUGGCUAGAAUGCGCAGCCGCUACAAGCAGAAGUCUCUGGGCCGCUAUGUGAAGCCACCACCGGAAGAGACGGAGCAAGAUCAAGCUGUGAAUACUGCUGCUCGGUGAACAGAUUCUUGGGUGAUUGUUUUGAGAGCCAGGAGAGCUCUUUCGACGCGAAUUGUAGUAUCAAGAGCGUGAUGAUUCUUGGAAGCUGCAAAUGGCCAAAGUUUUUACUAGCGCUGAAGAAUCCGAUCAAAACUCGCUUGAGUGAAGAACAGGCAGGAGCAAAACAGGGGAAA